This 376-nucleotide ribosomal RNA is filed under the name uncultured bacterium. Its description in RNAcentral is "bacterial SSU rRNA". It matches the Rfam family "Bacterial small subunit ribosomal RNA", at positions 524 to 898 of the family's 1533-position model. The record is from RNAcentral.
UACGUAGGUGGCAAGCGUUGUCCGGAUUUACUGGGCGUAAAGGGAGCGUAGGCGGAUACUUAAGUGGGAUGUGAAAUACCUGGGCUUAACUUGGGUGCUGCAUUCCAAACUGGGUGUCUAGAGUGUUGGAGAGGAAAGUGGAAUUCCUAGUGUAGCGGUGAAAUGCGUAGAGAUUAGGAAGAACACCAGUGGCGAAGGCGACUUUCUGGACAAUAACUGACGCUGAGGCUCGAAAGCGUGGGGAGCAAACAGGAUUAGAUACCCUGGUAGUCCACGCCGUAAACGCUGUGUACUAGGUGUAGUGGGUAUCGACUCCUCCUGUGCCGCCGUUAACACAAUAAGUACCCCGCCUGGGGAGUACGGUCGCAAGAUUAAA